GUCGAGCGAACGGACGAGAAGCUUGCUUCUCUGAUGUUAGCGGCGGACGGGUGAGUAACACGUGGAUAACCUACCUAUAAGACUGGGAUAACUUCGGGAAACCGGAGCUAAUACCGGAUAAUAUUUUGAACCGCAUGGUUCAAAAGUGAAAGACGGUCUUGCUGUCACUUAUAGAUGGAUCCGCGCUGCAUUAGCUAGUUGGUAAGGUAACGGCUUACCAAGGCAACGAUGCAUAGCCGACCUGAGAGGGUGAUCGGCCACACUGGAACUGAGACACGGUCCAGACUCCUACGGAAGGCAGCAGUAGGGAAUCUUCCGCAAUGGGCGAAAGCCUGACGGAGCAACGCCGCGUGAGUGAUGAAGGUCUUCGGAUCGUAAAACUCUGUUAUUAGGGAAGAACAUAUGUGUAAGUAACUGUGCACAUCUUGACGGUACCUAAUCAGAAAGCCACGGCUAACUACGUGCCAGCAGCCGCGGUAAUACGUAGGUGGCAAGCGUUAUCCGGAAUUAUUGGGCGUAAAGCGCGCGUAGGCGGUUUUUUAAGUCUGAUGUGAAAGCCCACGGCUCAACCGUGGAGGGUCAUUGGAAACUGGAAAACUUGAGUGCAGAAGAGGAAAGUGGAAUUCCAUGUGUAGCGGUGAAAUGCGCAGAGAUAUGGAGGAACACCAGUGGCGAAGGCGACUUUCUGGUCUGU
This 694-nucleotide ribosomal RNA is filed under the name uncultured Staphylococcus sp. Its description in RNAcentral is "bacterial SSU rRNA". It matches the Rfam family "Bacterial small subunit ribosomal RNA", at positions 61 to 737 of the family's 1533-position model. The record is from RNAcentral. Lineage: Bacteria; Bacillati; Bacillota; Bacilli; Caryophanales; Staphylococcaceae.